Molecule: ribosomal RNA, 548 nt
Filed under: uncultured Bifidobacterium sp.
Lineage: Bacteria; Bacillati; Actinomycetota; Actinomycetes; Bifidobacteriales; Bifidobacteriaceae
Description: bacterial SSU rRNA
Rfam family: Bacterial small subunit ribosomal RNA
Source: RNAcentral
CUCCUGGAAACGGGUGGUAAUGCCGGAUGCUCCGCCCCCUCGCAUGGGGGGUCGGGAAGGCUUUUGCGGAAUGGGAUGGGGUCGCGUCCUAUCAGCUUGUUGGCGGGGCGACGGCCCACCAAGGCUUCGACGGGUAGCCGGCCUGAGAGGGCGACCGGCCACAUUGGGACUGAGAUACGGCCCAGACUCCUACGGGAGGCAGCAGUGGGGAAUAUUGCACAAUGGGGGGAACCCUGAUGCAGCGACGCCGCGUGCGGGAUGGAGGCCUUCGGGUCGUGAACCGCUUUUGAUUGGGAGCAAGCGUGAGUGAGUGUACCUUUCGAAUAAGCACCGGCUAACUACGUGCCAGCAGCCGCGGUAAUACGUAGGGUGCAAGCGUUGUCCGGAAUCAUUGGGCGUAAAGGGCUCGUAGGCGGUUCGUCGCGUCCGGUGUGAAAGCCCAUCGCUUAACGGUGGGUCUGCGCCGGGUACGGGCGGGCUUGAGUGCGGCAGGGGAGGCUGGAAUUCCCGGCGUAACGGUGGAAUGUGUAGAUAUCGGGAAGAACACC